AUGGCCGCCGACCAGGACAAGCCGCUCAAGGCUGCUCGUGUCGACGGCAGGGAUGAUCAGCUGGCACGCCUGCCGGAAGACGUGCUCGCCGACAUCCUCGGCCGCGUCCCGCCGCGCUGGGUCGCCGCCUCCCGCUGCGUCUGCAGGGCCUGGCACGACGCCAUCGAUGCACACGGCCUCCUGCGCGCCGACCUGCUCCCGCUCUCGUUCGCUGGCCUCCUCAUCCACUUCGACAAGCACAAGUAUACCGAAUUCUUCGCUCGUCCCUCCGCCCAUGCGGUCAGCGGCAACCUCAGCUUCCUGCCUUCCGCUGCCCCUCAUGCUGGCACUAUAUGGGACGACGCCAGUGAUUGGGACGACUACAAGAUUCAGAACCAUUGCAACGGGCUCCUCUUGCUUAGCAACAACCAUGUGGUUAACCCUGCCAUCCAAAGGUGGAAUGCUUUGCCACCGUGCCCGGCCAAAGAUGGUACAUGGUACAUGUGGUACGGUGGGCAUUUGGUCUAUGAUCCGAUGGUAUCACCACAUUACGAGGUGUUCAUGGUCCCACGUUUGCGUGAUAAAGAUGAUCCUUAUAAUCGUCCGGACCUCUUGAUGGAGAAAUCUGAAUGGCCACCGUCUCCAUGCAAGAUGUAUGUAUUCUCAUCAAGGUCGGGUUGUUGGGAGGAGAAGUAUUUCACCCGAGAAGGCGAUGCUGCGGGGAUCGUUAGUGAGAUGCAAGUAGGCUGGCUGGAGUUCAGGACCGCUGUAUAUUUUCGAACAGCACUUUAUAUAUACAGCGAAGCUGCAUUUCUUAUGAGAAUAUCACUGUCAGAUACUGCAUAUCAUGUAAUAAAACCACCUUUUGAUAUUAAAGUAAAGGACUGUUGUCUACACACUGAUAUAGUUAGAUCAGAAAAGGGGGUGUACUUUGUGGCAUUUGAAGAUGAUAAGUGUUGGCUUCGAGUUUGGAUCCUUAAUGAAUCAUGUGGCCAAAUGGAGUGGAUGUUGAAGCAUGACAAAGACCUUAACCCUGUGCUAGCACGCCACCGGUUUGACCAACGAGUACAUGGACCCUGGAUCUUAGAAGAUAUUAACUACAACCUAUUUCGUUCUUCUCAUUCUUCAAAUGAUAUCAAGGAAGCAUCAACUGAACAGAUAUAUGAAUGGAACUCUGACAAUGAUGAUGACGAUGUUGAAAAUUGCCACCGGAAUAAAGACGGUCGUCGCAAGGAAUAUGAUAUUCAGAUACUUGGGUUUCACCCCCAUAAAGAGAUUGUCUUCAUGAGUGAAUCUCAGGAGACAGGACUGGCUUAUCACUUAAACGGCUCGAAGAUUGAAGUCUUAGGGAGUAUAUACCCAAAGGAGUAUUCAUGUUUCAAAGAGCUAUUAAAUGACAUGGAGUACUUCACUUCUUUUCCAUACACCCCAUGUUGGAUUAAAGAGUUUCCUCAGAACAACUAG
This 1443-nucleotide ribosomal RNA is filed under the name Triticum aestivum (bread wheat). RNAcentral describes it as "partial small subunit ribosomal RNA". The record is from RNAcentral. Lineage: Eukaryota; Viridiplantae; Streptophyta; Magnoliopsida; Poales; Poaceae.